This 232-nucleotide ribosomal RNA is filed under the name uncultured bacterium. RNAcentral's name for it is "partial 16S ribosomal RNA". It matches the Rfam family "Bacterial small subunit ribosomal RNA", at positions 99 to 334 of the family's 1533-position model. The record is from RNAcentral.
CGGACGGGUGAGUAAUGCUUGGGAAUCUAGCUUAUGGAGGGGGGUAACUACGGGAAACUGUAGCCAAUACCGCGUAAUAUCGAAAGAUUAAAGUGUGGGACCUUCGGGCCACAUGCCAUAGGAUGAGCCCAAGUGGGAUUAGGUAGUUGGUGAGGUAAAGGCUCACCAAGCCGACGAUCUCUAGCUGGUCUGAGAGGAUGACCAGCCACACUGGGACUGAGACACGGCCCAG